UACGUAGGGGGCAAGCGUUGUCCGGAUUUAUUGGGCGUAAAGAGCGUGUAGGCGGCCAGGUAGGUCGGCUGUGAAAACUCGAGGCUCAACCUCGAGCUGUCGGCCGAAACCAUCUGGCUAGAGUCCGGAAGAGGAGAAUGGAAUUCCCGGUGUAGCGGUGAAAUGCGCAGAUAUCGGGAAGAACACCCGUGGCGAAGGCAGUUCUCUGGGCCGUAACUGACGCUGAGGAGCGAAAGCGUGGGGAGCGAACAGG
This 253-nucleotide ribosomal RNA is filed under the name uncultured bacterium. Its description in RNAcentral is "partial 16S ribosomal RNA". It matches the Rfam family "Bacterial small subunit ribosomal RNA", at positions 524 to 776 of the family's 1533-position model. The record is from RNAcentral.